UACGUAGGUGGCAAGCGUUGUCCGGAUUUAUUGGGUUUAAAGGGUGCGUAGGCGGCCCUGUAAGUCAGUGCUGAAAUACCCCGGCUUAACCGGGGGGGGUGGCAUUGAUACUGCAGGGCUUGAGUACAGAUGAGGUAGGCGGAAUUGACGGUGUAGCGGUGGAAUGCGUAGAGAUCCGGAAGAACACCGGUGGCGAAGGCGGCCUGCUGGGCAGUAGCUGACACUGAGGCGCGACAGCGUGGGGAGCAAACAGG
Molecule: ribosomal RNA, 254 nt
Filed under: uncultured bacterium
Lineage: Bacteria
Description: partial 16S ribosomal RNA
Rfam family: Bacterial small subunit ribosomal RNA
Source: RNAcentral